UGGGGAAUAUUGCACAAUGGGCGCAAGCCUGAUGCAGCCAUGCCGCGUGUAUGAAGAAGGCCUUCGGGUUGUAAAGUACUUUCAGCGGGGAGGAAAGGAGUAAAGUUAAUACCUUUGCUCAUUGACGUUACCCGCAGAAGAAGCACCGGCUAACUCCGUGCCAGCAGCCGCUGUAAUACGGAGGGUGCAAGCGUUAAUCGGAAUUACUGGGCGUAAAGCGCACGCAGGCGGUCUGUUAAGUCAGAUGUGAAAUCCCCGGGCUCAACCUGGGAACUGCAUCUGAUACUGGCAAGCUUGAGUUUCGUAGAGGGGGGUAGAAUUCCAGGUGUAGCGGUGAAAUGCGUAGAGAUCUGGAGGAAUACCGGUGGCGAAGGCGGCCCCCUGGACCGAGACUGACGCUCAGGUGCGAAAGCGUGGGGAGCAAACAGG
RNAcentral lists this ribosomal RNA (429 nucleotides) under Fusobacteriota bacterium. RNAcentral's name for it is "Fusobacteria bacterium partial 16S ribosomal RNA". It matches the Rfam family "Bacterial small subunit ribosomal RNA", at positions 355 to 776 of the family's 1533-position model. Lineage: Bacteria; Fusobacteriati; Fusobacteriota. The record is from RNAcentral.